GAUGAACGCUGGCGGCGUGCCUAACACAUGCAAGUCGAGCGGACAGACGAGGAGAUUGUGCUCUUGACGUUAGCGGGGGGCGGGCGGGUAACACGUACAUCGCCUUCUUCUUUUUCGUGGAUGAUAUCGUGAAACAGCAGCUGCUACUAGCUCAUACAUCCUACGGGUUAAUUCAAUAGUGCUACGCGCCUUUGCUGUUUCAUUUAGCCGGUGUCGGAUUAGCUAGUUGGCUUGGUAAGGGCCCACCAAGGCGACGAUCCGUAGCUGAUCUGAGAGGAUGAUCAGCCACACUGGAACUGAGACACGGUCCAGACUCCUACGGGAGGCAGCAGUAGGGAAUCUUCGACAAUGGGCGAAAGCCUGACCCAGCAAUACCGCGUGAGUGAAGAAGGCCUUCGGGUUGUAAAGCUCUUUUAUUGGGAAAGAAAAGAAGUAGGAGAAUACAUGGCCGUCCUGACGGUACCAAAAGAAUAAGCAACGGCUAACUUCGUG
RNAcentral lists this ribosomal RNA (492 nucleotides) under uncultured bacterium. Its description in RNAcentral is "partial 16S ribosomal RNA". It matches the Rfam family "Bacterial small subunit ribosomal RNA", at positions 28 to 507 of the family's 1533-position model. The record is from RNAcentral.